Molecule: non-coding RNA, 64 nt
Organism: Microtus ochrogaster (prairie vole)
Lineage: Eukaryota; Metazoa; Chordata; Mammalia; Rodentia; Cricetidae
Source: Ensembl
CACUACGAAGCUUAGAGCGUUAACCUUUUAAGUUAAAGUUAGAGACUAUCAGUCUCCGUAGUGA